CAAUAGCGUAUAUUUAAGUUGUUGCAGUUAAAAAGCUCGUAGUUGGAUUUCGGGUAGGAUUUGCCGGUCCGUCUUUGAGAUGUGUGCUGGUAAGUCCUAUCUUCUUGUCGGGGACCAGCUCCUGGGCUUCACUGUCCGGGACUGGGAGCCGACGAGGUUACUUUGAGUAAAUUAGAGUGUUCAAAGCAAGCCUACGCUCUGAAUACAUUAGCAUGGAAUAACACGAUAGGACUCUGGCUUAUCUUGUUGGUCUGUGAGACCAGAGUAAUGAUUAAGAGGGACAGUCGGGGGCAUUCGUAUUUCAUUGUCAGAGGUGAAAUUCUUGGAUCUAUGAAAGACGAACUUCUGCGAAAGCAUUUGUCAAGGAUGUUUUCAUUA
This 378-nucleotide ribosomal RNA is filed under the name uncultured eukaryote. Its description in RNAcentral is "partial 18S ribosomal RNA". It matches the Rfam family "Eukaryotic small subunit ribosomal RNA", at positions 592 to 975 of the family's 1831-position model. The record is from RNAcentral.